RNAcentral lists this transfer RNA (77 nucleotides) under marine eukaryotic metagenome. It matches the Rfam family "tRNA", at positions 5 to 66 of the family's 71-position model. Rfam says of the family: Transfer RNA (tRNA) molecules are approximately 80 nucleotides in length. Their secondary structure includes four short double-helical elements and three loops (D, anti-codon, and T loops). Further hydrogen bonds mediate the characteristic L-shaped molecular structure. tRNAs have two regions of fundamental functional importance: the anti-codon, which is responsible for specific mRNA codon recognition, and the 3' end, to which the tRNAs corresponding amino acid is attached (by aminoacyl-tRNA synthetases). tRNAs cope with the degeneracy of the genetic code in two manners: having more than one tRNA (with a specific anti-codon) for a particular amino acid; and 'wobble' base-pairing, i.e. permitting non-standard base-pairing at the 3rd anti-codon position. The record is from RNAcentral.
UCGGUGGCAGAGCGGUCAAAUGCAUUGGACUGUAAAUCCAACGGAGUAUUCCUACGCAGGUUCGAAUCCUGCCCGGC